Molecule: ribosomal RNA, 459 nt
Filed under: uncultured bacterium
Lineage: Bacteria
Description: partial 16S ribosomal RNA
Rfam family: Bacterial small subunit ribosomal RNA
Source: RNAcentral
AACGAACGCUGGCGGCAGGCUUAACACAUGCAAGUCGAACGCGAAAUCACCUUCGGGUGGUGGAGGGUGGCAGACGGGUGAGUAACGCGUGGGAACCUACCUAGUGGUACGGAAUAACUCAGGGAAACUUGGGCUAAUACCGUAUGUGCCCGAAAGGGGAAAGAUUCAUCGCCAAUAGAUGGGCCCGCGUCGGAUUAGCUUGUUGGUGAGGUAAGGGCUCACCAAGGCGAAGAUCCGUAGCUGGUCUGAGAGGAUGAUCAGCCACACUGGGACUGGGACACGGCCCAGACUCCUACGGGAGGCAGCAGUGGGGAAUAUUGGACAAUGGGCGCGAGCCUGAUCCAGCCAUGCCGCGUGAGUGAUGAAGGCCCUAGGGUUGUAAAGCUCUUUCGGCGGGGACGAUAAUGACGGUACCCGCAGAAGAAGCCCCGGCUAACUUCGUGCCAGCAGCCGCCGCCG